GUGACACCUGGCUCUACAGAGAGCAAAAGAUCCCCAGGUGACACAGGAACACAGACAUGGAUGGGCCUUACUGAAAUACGAGGCAGAGGAAACAAGGGCAGGGUGUGGUGCUGAGUUGUGGACCCAUUAGGGACCAGCUUUUUAUAACAGGCAGGCCAGCUGCUGGCUCCGCCUCAUUUCCUCCAAGAAGACUGGUGGGCACUGAAGAAACUUCAUCUUGAGUCAAUGGCAACGAUGGCCACUGAACAACCCUGCCCUUCACCUCAACUGCUACAAAGUAUUCCAGACCAUGGACAAGAGGACAGUGGAAUCAACUUUCCCCAUGUUGGGUCAAUGGUCAAAGAGGUACCAAGUUCCAUACAGCCUGGACUUCGAUGGAGCAACCAGAUACCCCAGGACUUGGCAGCAUCCCAGCUUUCUCAGGUCCUCCAAAGAUGGUCAACACCCUCCAUGUUAGCAGGAAGCAGUCUUGAGACUUCGACGCCCUUAUUCCUUAAUCUGCCAUGUCUAACACCCCACCUUUUUAAUAAUAAGUAAAGGUGGGAUUGAAAGGUUCAGGCAUUAUGCUGGCCUGCCCCUGUCACCUGGCAGAAUCCACUCAGGCAGCACCCUGGUCAUCCCAGGGUUCCAUGGGAACUAAGUCUGCACACAGGUAUAGAGGACCCCUUUAAAAGAUAGACCCCUGCCCACUUACACUCUCUUCUCUCUCUGCCUCUCUCUCUGCUUCUUCUCCUCUCUUCUAUUUCUCUCUCACUCACUCUCCAUGAAAUAAUAAACUGG
Molecule: long non-coding RNA, 780 nt
Filed under: Cricetulus griseus (Chinese hamster)
Lineage: Eukaryota; Metazoa; Chordata; Mammalia; Rodentia; Cricetidae
Description: lncRNA (ENSCGRG00015023032.2)
Source: RNAcentral